Ctenopharyngodon idella (grass carp) is the source of this 364-nucleotide long non-coding RNA. RefSeq lists it as uncharacterized. The record is from RefSeq and is a predicted model, not a curated record. NCBI's taxonomy places the organism in Eukaryota, Metazoa, Chordata, Actinopteri, Cypriniformes, Xenocyprididae. The transcript has 2 exons.
GUCAGUAUUUACCUAUGAGAGUUUUUAUUUUCACUGUCAUAUCAGAAUUAAUUUCUUGUUACUUCCCAUUUUAUAUUAUUUCUCUGUUAGUAGUACUUAUGUUGUAAUGUAGUUCCCAACGUAGGUUCGGGAGGAGCCGAAACAUUCAGUCCUGUGUUUUUCGGUGUGUAUUUUGAUCGUUACACCUUUAACCUUAUUAUUUAUUAUUCUCAGGUUAGGUAAAGUAAGUCGAGUCUGGCCUAAAUUAUAAGCAUUUAAAAUUACUUACAAUUUGGUCAGAAGACUCCUCUGUGGUACGUUCUUGUUCAAAGUCUUAAAACACUAUAAAUCAAGCCAAGGUAGGCAGCUUUUGUAAUCAAUUAAA